This 27-nucleotide non-coding RNA is filed under the name Bombyx mori (domestic silkworm). The record is from RNAcentral. Lineage: Eukaryota; Metazoa; Arthropoda; Insecta; Lepidoptera; Bombycidae.
UCAUUCUCAGGGGGCUUGCGUGUGGUU